GCUGGCGGCGUGCUUAACACAUGCAAGUCGCGUGCGCAGUUGCCGUAGCAAUACGGUGAUGGGCGCACGGCGCACGGGUGCGUAACACGUGGGCAAUCUGCCCUCUGAUGGGGAAUAACCCGCCGAAAGGCGGGCUAAUUCCGCAUAAGAUUCUUCGGACUUCGGUCUGGAGAUUGAAAGCAGUAAUGCGUCGGAGGAGGAGCCCGCGCCCGAUUAGCUAGUUGGUGAGGUAACGGCUCACCAAGGCUAUGAUCGGUAGCUGGUCUGAGAGGAUGAUCAGCCACACUGGAACUGAGACACGGUCCAGACUCCUACGGGAGGCAGCAGUGGGGAAUCUUGCACAAUGGGCGAAAGCCUGAUGCAGCGACGCCGCGUGGGGGAUGAAGCAUUUCGGUGUGUAAACCCCUUUCGACUGGGACGAAUGCCUCGCAAGAGGAGUGACGGUACCAUUAGAAGAAGCCCCGGCUAACUACGUGCCAGCAGCCGCGGUAAGACGUAGGGGGCCAGCGUUGUUCGGAAUUACUGGGUGUAAAGGGUUCGUA
This 542-nucleotide ribosomal RNA is filed under the name uncultured soil bacterium. Its description in RNAcentral is "bacterial SSU rRNA". It matches the Rfam family "Bacterial small subunit ribosomal RNA", at positions 35 to 573 of the family's 1533-position model. The record is from RNAcentral.